Molecule: ribosomal RNA, 411 nt
Filed under: Triticum aestivum (bread wheat)
Lineage: Eukaryota; Viridiplantae; Streptophyta; Magnoliopsida; Poales; Poaceae
Description: partial small subunit ribosomal RNA
Source: RNAcentral
AUGGCGGUAAAGAAAUAUCUAUUCCGCUUUGAAUCAUUCGCGAUAAAGGAUGGCUCUGAGAUAUGUUUCUGGGAGGACACGUGGCUAGGAAACACCACUCUUCAAGAACAGUGUCCAGCCUUGUAUCGCAUUGUACGCGAUAAGAAUGAUACUCUUGCGCAUGUGCUCAGUUCCUCCCCGCUGAACGUAUCAUUUAGGAGGGAUUUGAUUGGCCUCCGUCUUGCGUCAUGGCAACAUCUUCUAUCCCGUUUGGAUACGAUAAACUUGACACAAGGGCGGGAUGUGUUUUGUUGGAAUCUCACUGCAUCAGGAUCCUUCAGAAUUGACUCUAUGUACCGUGCACUCUCGCAUUCAGAGAUUUCCGUGAAUAAUAAUAAACUAAUAUGCAAUUCAAAGAUGCCACUGAAUUAA